UACGGGGGGUGCGAGCGUUAAUCGGAAUAACUGGGCGUAAAGGGCACGUAGGCGGACUUUUAAGUGAGGUGUGAAAUCCCCGGGCUUAACCUGGGAAUUGCAUUUCAUACUGGGAGUCUAGAGUACGCUAGGGGGGUGUAGAAUUCCACGUGUAGCGGUGAAAUGCGUAGAGAUGUGGAGGAAUACCGAAGGCGAAGGCGGCCCCCUGGGAAUGUACUGACGCUCAUGUGCGAAAGCGUGGGGAGCAAACAGG
RNAcentral lists this ribosomal RNA (253 nucleotides) under uncultured bacterium. Its description in RNAcentral is "partial 16S ribosomal RNA". It matches the Rfam family "Bacterial small subunit ribosomal RNA", at positions 524 to 776 of the family's 1533-position model. The record is from RNAcentral.